AUACGGAGGAUCCGAGCGUUAUCCGGAUUUAUUGGGUUUAAAGGGUGCGCAGGCGGCCAUUUAAGUCAGCGGUCAAAUCGUGGGGCUCAACCCCAUUCUGCCGUUGAUACUGGGUGGCUUGAUUGCGGUCGAGGUUGGCGGAAUUCGUUGUGUAGCGGUGAAAUGCAUAGAUAUGACGAAGAACACCGAUUGCGUAGGCAGCUGACCAGACCGCAAAUGACGCUCAUGCACGAAAGUGCGGGGAUCGAACAGGAUUAGAUACCCUGGUAGUCCGCACAGUAAACGAUGAAUACUUGUUUUCGGCGAUAUAAUGUCGGAGGCAAAGCGAAAGCGAUAAGUAUUCCACCUGGGGAGUACGCCGGCAACGGUGAAACUCAAAUGAAUUGGCGGGG
This 392-nucleotide ribosomal RNA is filed under the name uncultured bacterium. Its description in RNAcentral is "partial 16S ribosomal RNA". It matches the Rfam family "Bacterial small subunit ribosomal RNA", at positions 523 to 918 of the family's 1533-position model. The record is from RNAcentral.